UUUUGUAAAACUAGUAAACAAAAGAUUCAUUUACAUCUUUAUGAGAAAUCAAACGAUUUGAUCCUUUUUCCCAUAAAAUGCAAAUAGCUCCCACUAACUUGCUAAGAUCCAUGAUGGAUGGAUCUCUACAACUUACAUGUCUUGUGAUUUAUAGUUUUAUACAUAUAUUAUCAAGACUAUCUUAAUAAUGGUUUCGGAAACCCAUAUUAUGUCAAAACAUUGAAUCACCAUUUAGUUGUAGCUAGCAAUCUUCGAAUUAAUUGAAACUAAGACUACGUCAAAAAUGGUUCCUUUAAAGUCAACCAUUCUAUUUGAUUGUAGUCACCUUAAGCUACCAAUUAGCUAUGAAGGUUUCAUUAUUUCGAGUCAAAUGGUA
This 376-nucleotide long non-coding RNA is filed under the name Malus domestica (apple). RNAcentral's name for it is "long non-coding RNA (MDOM_LNC017789)". The record is from RNAcentral. Lineage: Eukaryota; Viridiplantae; Streptophyta; Magnoliopsida; Rosales; Rosaceae.